UGGGGAAUAUUGGACAAUGGGCGAAAGCCUGAUCCAGCAAUGCCGCGUGAGUGAUGAAGGCCUUAGGGUUGUAAAGCUCUUUUACCAGGGAUGAUAAUGACAGUACCUGGAGAAUAAGCUCCGGCUAACUCCGUGCCAGCAGCCGCGGUAAUACGGAGGGAGCUAGCGUUGUUCGGAAUUACUGGGCGUAAAGCGCGCGUAGGCGGUUUUUCAAGUCAGGGGUGAAAUCCCGGAGCUCAACUCCGGAACUGCCCUUGAAACUGGAUGACUAGAAUCCUGGAGAGGCGAGUGGAAUUCCGAGUGUAGAGGUGAAAUUCGUAGAUAUUCGGAGGAACACCAGUGGCGAAGGCGGCUCACUGGCUCGAUACUGACGCUGAGGUGCGAAAGUGUGGGGAGCAAACAGGAUUAGAUACCCCCGUAGUCC
Molecule: ribosomal RNA, 424 nt
Filed under: uncultured prokaryote
Description: bacterial SSU rRNA
Rfam family: Bacterial small subunit ribosomal RNA
Source: RNAcentral